CAGAGGGUGCGAGCGUUGUUCGGAAUUACUGGGCGUAAAGCGCGCGCAGGCGGCUUCUUAAGUCCAUCGGUGAAAUGCCGGGGCUCAACCCCGUUGCAGGCCGAGGAUACUGGGAGGCUGGAGACGAGUAGAGGCAAGCGGAAUUCCGGGUGUAGCGGUGGAAUGCGUAGAGAUCCGGAAGAACACCGGAGGCGAAGGCGGCUUGCUGGGCUUGGUCUGACGCUGAGGCGCGAAAGCGUGGGGAGCGAACAGGAUUAGAUACCCUGGUAGUCCACGCCGUAAACGAUGGGCACUAGACGCGGGUGGGAUCGACCCCUUCCGUGUCGCAGCUAACGCGCUAAGUGCCCCGCCUGGGGAGUACGGCCGCAAGGCUG
Molecule: ribosomal RNA, 374 nt
Filed under: uncultured organism
Description: bacterial SSU rRNA
Rfam family: Bacterial small subunit ribosomal RNA
Source: RNAcentral